This 66-nucleotide transfer RNA is filed under the name Venustaconcha ellipsiformis. Its description in RNAcentral is "tRNA-Glu". Lineage: Eukaryota; Metazoa; Mollusca; Bivalvia; Unionida; Unionidae. The record is from RNAcentral.
GCCAAUUAAGUGUUUUAUUAUGCACAUUGACUUUUCACGUCAAAGGGGCACACAGUGCACUUGGCU